AUGGGUGGUAGAUCAUUUUUCAAGCAAUUUUAUGGAUCUGUGACAAAGUUGGAUUAUGUAACAUUAAGGCGAGAUGAAUGCUGUAGGUUCAACCAUCGCUCUGGAAUCGGUGGUGUCUCGGAGUUCCUUGGUUGGACAGAUCAACAGAGAGCCGCUGCAGCCAAGGAAGGCUGGGGAUACAGAUUAGUGUUUUCUGCACGCCUGAUUGGAUUAUUUCUUGUUGCCGAUGCAUUAUUUAUCGGUGCUCAGCAAGCUGGACGCUAUCUUCAGGAAAUCAGAACCCAUUGA
Non-coding RNA from Vicia faba (fava bean), 288 nucleotides. Lineage: Eukaryota; Viridiplantae; Streptophyta; Magnoliopsida; Fabales; Fabaceae. The record is from the annotation of a GenBank genome assembly.